UGUCUAAGCAAUAGCUUGGUGAUUGGCAAAACUUCGUGUUUUACAAAAAAUCAGAGCACCUGGCAUCCCAGCCAGCCAGCAGCCAGCCGAACAGCCAGCUGUCAAAUUUCGGCUCCUCCUCCGCAUCCAACCCUCGUCUACUUUUUGCCAAAGAGAGACCACCAUAUCUAGAGGCAUCAUGCCCUCCACUCUGGUCACUGGUUGUACAAGAAGUGAAGUUAUAGAAUCAACCGGAUGUGUCUCUGAUCAAACAGUGUUGGCAUCAUAGGAUGAAUGAAUUAUUAUUUCAUGUUAGUUAGGGUUACUAUAUGUAUUUGAUAAUGAAUGUUCAUACAACUUAACAAAUUACAAUACAAUUACUGCUAUCUAAUCAUCGAGAAUAAUCGUUCAAAGAUUGGUUGAUACUUUUUAUUAGGAGAUAAGAAAUUUAAUUUAGUUUAGUAAAUUAUUUUAUUUUUGGUAAAAUGAUUCACAAGCGGCUGAUCUGAUUUUAAUUUGAUUUUUUUUUCUUAUGCUAGCAACGGUACAAAGAUGACACCAAAACUAGUACGGCGACUUCAUUCACCGAAUGAGACGUCUGCCAACCACGAAGACGAUUCAUCCAUCCGCGCUACUAUAUUGUCCCCUCUUACAAAGGUAACCAAUUUAACAAUAAUUCAUUUGAAUCAGUUUAUCAUUUAGCAAUUAUUGAUUCGUUUUCAGAUUUUGUUGAUAAAAUUAUGCCGAGAUUGCUUGAUUGUCGAUUUUGACAAUCUUUGGAUGCCACUGGAGCCAGACGUAAACCAGCGUAAUGAUAAAGCAAUAAAAUGCUUUAGUGUUGAAGUACGAUUGAGUCUUAUGCUACGCCAGGUACCGAACUUUAACGAAGUUUCAGUACCAUAGGUCUGAAGAAAGGGCUGAAAGAUGCUCAAGGCGGUUGCUCAAAUCGAUAGUUAUAAUCACGAAAACAAAACCUCAUCGCAUCACCCGGUUAAACCAUUAAAAUUUUCCUCGAUCAACGUGACGCUGGUUCCGAAUCAGCAACAGUUCGCUGCUAUCGGAAAACGGCUUCCUCCUCUUCGGCACCCUAGUCGACGGUCAGCUGGGAGGGCAUCCUAGAACUCAUCAACAUGCCCGAGGGCAGUCUUAAAAUCCCAGUCAAUUCCAUCUCGGCCUCCCAGUUAUGCGAGGGCUUGAAUUCACUCCUGUUCUGCUGUGUUACAUUUGCCGACAACGAAACGCUUCCACCGCACACUAAGUUUCACUUCCGGGAGCUGAUCACCCGGGUAGAGAAUUAGUCGCUCUCGCUACGUUCUGGGGGCAGAAAGAAUGUGCAUGACAAUGAGAAACUCCUGCUGGAAGUCGGUCAGUCACUGAAGCAAAUCUCGAACAGGUCUUUUUGACUUGAACAACAGCCAGUCAACAAGAGUCGGUCACCGGAAUGUCAUCGUAAUUUUCAUGUCGCCUGAGUAGCCGUUAUUAAGCAAUCUGGUUUCGGCUGACCAGCGUUAUUUUAAACAACUGUUCAUUAUUCUGAGAUGGCCCCACGAGCUGCCCUCCGACUCUGUUUAAAUCGCAACUUGUCCGUGUUCAUGUUGAAAAAGGGGGUUUCUUACCGAACGAUAAUAGGUGCAACAUGGAGAACAGUAGCCUCAAUGAAUCCAUGAGUAGCAUGGACAAAUCUCAGUUCGAUAGUAGCGGCCAGUGGCUUGGUUCGAAAAAUUAUUUUUAUUCACCGGUUGGUUACGAGUCUAUCCGAGGCCUGGUUUCGGAAUCUUCAGUUGAACCAAAACUGCAACAGUCCCAUAGGAGCAACAACGGUUCGGAGAGGUUAAGGAACAAGCCAAGAAGGAGUAGAAGGCUAAGAAAUUAAUGAAGGAGUUGCCCCCGUGUUCGAGGAGAUGGAGGUGCAUUUCAUCCUUCAAUAUCUACAAAUCACAGGAGGACUUCUUUAAUGAACGUCCUGCUCAUCUUUCACAACUGUGAAAUGUACAACGAUGACGAUUCGCCGGUGGGCACAGCUGUUCAUAGAAUGUGCCAGCUUUGUAGAGGCGUUGGGCUGAACUGACCGAAAAGCCGGCCACGCAACAACCACAACGACAGCAAUCAUCAUGACAGCAGGAUCAACAACACUCCGGAUACUCAUAUUGAUGCCAGCAGUUAGCGUCAACCGUUUCAAUUACUUUAUCAGAAGUUAAUUUAAACAGUUUUACGUUAACAAUAAAUAGUUAAAUUGAAACUCGGUAAAAUAAUAGGAAACCAAGGCCUAAAAUGACCUCCUAGUGGAAAUAACAGGUUUAUUUAAUAGAUCAUGUAAAAAACUGUAGGCAAAUAGGAUUGUAGCAUUGAGACUGCGUUAGAAAAUUCCCAAAAUGAAUGUUCACUCGGUGUUGAGAGGUUCAAUUUAGUUUGGAAAUUUCAAACGUUAAACCAGGAAAAAUUGUUAUUACUUUCUAUUAUUUUAUUAUAAUUAUACAAUUAUGUUUAAUACUAGUUAUGAUUUAAAGCAUAAAUUAGGAGAAAAAUAAAAAAAAAC
Long non-coding RNA from Uranotaenia lowii, 2515 nucleotides. RefSeq lists it as uncharacterized. The record is from RefSeq and is a predicted model, not a curated record. NCBI's taxonomy places the organism in Eukaryota, Metazoa, Arthropoda, Insecta, Diptera, Culicidae. The transcript is spliced from 4 exons.